This 116-nucleotide ribosomal RNA is filed under the name Vibrio parahaemolyticus. Lineage: Bacteria; Pseudomonadati; Pseudomonadota; Gammaproteobacteria; Vibrionales; Vibrionaceae. The record is from RNAcentral.
GCUGGCGACCAUAGCGUUAUAGUACCACCUGAUCCCAUACCGAACUCAGAAGUGAAAUAUAACAGCGCCAAUGGUAGUGUGAGGUUUCCUCAUGCGAGAGUCGGACAUCGCCAGCA